Molecule: long non-coding RNA, 1889 nt
Organism: Bactrocera tryoni
Lineage: Eukaryota; Metazoa; Arthropoda; Insecta; Diptera; Tephritidae
Exons: 3
Source: RefSeq, a predicted model, not a curated record
CGCAACCGCGGCGCAGUACAACGACCGCCAUUACGCCGGGAUGCACGGCCCCGUCGAACCAUAGGGCCAUCAUCCUCCCGUGCCCGGCGGCCACAUAAUGGGGCGUCCACACGACGCCAGCAACAACGACCGCGUCCGCGUCGCACCUCAGGCCUCAGCAGCGUCGUAGCCACUCUGCAGCAGCUUCAAAGGAUUCUAGGCUGAAAUAUUCGCCAAGGGGGGCCGGGAUGGCUAAAUGAGCCUUAGUCGCCUGCCCCACACCACACCUACACCCAUCACUAACACGCACACUCACCACACUCACCUCGACAUCACCACACUCCACAUCAACACCACCCACACGCGCGAGCGCAGGAUCCACACACUAAAUCACACACCAUAUCACUCUACUGAAAAAGGGUCCGCUUUUACACAAGCCAGUAUUGAUUCGUCCAUUACUGAAUGCACGUCGUCUUUUCGCCACACGCCGCUAGUUAUCGCCAUUUAUGCCGAUCUCCAUCAUUUAGACACAGCAUUUUGUGAAUAUAAGAAUUUUAAUAAUUUUUGAUCAAUACAAUUGUGAAAUUAACGUGUCCAGAACCCCCUCUAUACGGCCAUUAGAAGGCGUAUUUCUAUUCUUAAAUAAAAGUGUUUAUGCAAAUUGUGAAGGUGAAUAAAACAAUAAUAUUAAUUUAACUCAAAUUGUAUCCAUAACUUCUGAUAACGGUGCGAAUAUGCAACAAACAACAAAUAUUUUAUCAUUUGUUUCCGAACAAAAUAAUGAAACGGACAACGAAGAGUGCAUCAACGAUGACUAUAUACAAGAAAUCGAGCUUAUGGAAACAGUGCCCUAUAUAUUAAUAGGCAAUAUUCAAGUUUGUCGUUGUGAUGCACAUACAGCACAGCUGGUUGCUCUUGAUGUGAUGAAAUCAUUGGAUAUUAUGAAGUACUUACUCAAUUGCAGAAAUAUGACAAAAUACAUAAGAAAAAUCAUUAUGGAUAUCGUGAAAUAUUUGAAUUAAAAAUUGAAAAUGCCACAACUAGAUUGUCCAACCAGAUGGGGAUCUACUUACACAAUGUUAAGCAACUUGUUGGAAGCUAAACAUAUUUAAAGUAAAAUUGAAUCUAUUAAAAAUAAAUCGGAUGAAGAGAAUUUUGAUCUAGAUUCCUCGUUUUGGGAUUUUAUUGAGGCAUAUUGCAAUGUUUUCAGUCCCUUGCAAAAAGCCAUAAAAAAAUUUCAAGAGGAACAGUUACAUUAUAGUAACUUUUACGCCCAAUGGCUCAAGCUUAAAAUAUCUAAUGAAAAAUUAGUAAAGGAUACAAAUCUGAAUUUAACGAAAACUAUUGGAAAUGAAAUUUUAAAUUCUAUUGAAAAACGAACAAAAUAUUGUUGAAUAACAAAUUUAUAGUUUCUUGCUUGUUUUUGGAUCCACGUUUUCAAUAUAUGUUGAUCAACAAAAAAAUGACGCAAUAAAUCAUUUAAAAUAUAUUUGGGAUAGACUUAAUAGUCUUCACCCUACUGGCAAUAUGUGCUCAACUCCGAAUUCCAGCUCUAAUGAAAUACAGAACUAUUUUUUUGAUGAGGAAGACGAAUUGCUAGAAGCAUACUUAUCUCAAGGCGUUAAAUCAGAAGUCAACAGUACAAUCGAUGUAUAUUCAAAAAUUGAAAACCUGAAACUUUCUUAUCAGAGGAUUGACAUAGACGUUUUGUCUUAUUGGAAAAGAAAACAGUAUACCGACCAGGAAUUAUACGCAAUUAGUAAUGUUUGUUAUGCCGUACCGCCAACUCAGGUGUCGAUUGAACGAGCUUUCUCUACUUUAAGACUGGUGCUUACCGAGUCUCGCAAUCGAUUAAGCCACGAUGUUCUUGAGAACAUAUUGCUAGUAAAAUUAAAUCCUAGCUUUCUGGA